RNAcentral lists this long non-coding RNA (726 nucleotides) under Homo sapiens (human). RNAcentral describes it as "HSALNT0289950". The record is from RNAcentral. Lineage: Eukaryota; Metazoa; Chordata; Mammalia; Primates; Hominidae.
AAGGGAGGCCCCAACAGCGAUGGCUGCAAACCCUUGGAGGUGGCAUUGCCAAAAGCGGACGUCAAUAGAUGUAAUGCAAAAAUAGUGUCUUGUGUUCAAAAAAGGUUGGGAAAUACUGAGUGAAAGAAUAGUGCACAAACCAUAGGCACACAGCUCAAGGAAUUAUCAGGAAUUGAACAUGUCCACGUGUGCCCAACCCAGCUCUCCAGCACACCUUCCCAGCCUCAACCCAUCAUCUGGAUUCUGAGGUUCUUGGCUCCAGUGAGGACGUUAUUGCUGAGAAUUAGAUGCUGAAGUUGGCACCAUCAAAUAACUAGUCCUGGAUGCAUGUCACUAGUAGCAGCCAUCUCACUGCCUCAGGAACUCAAGUUUACCAUGGUCACCAUGGCCUUGGAGAAUACUCACCUCAUCCUUUUUGUGCAUCACUCGCUCUCAAUUCUAAAAAAGGAGAGAACAUCUGAUUGGCAAAGCCUAGGUGAUACAAAUAUCUGGAAUUCUCAUCUUUUGUAAUGGGAAGUAACUCUGCUUGCUGUUAAGAUUCACAGAGUAAAUAAUCACCAGCUCCUGGAGGGGCUCGUGGGUAGGUAUGGAGAGAGAUGAGCAAUGGUCUACACAGAUGACAGAACAUAUCCACAUCCCUAAGCAGCUUUGGAGUAAACCAGAGUAAAAGCAACCAAAACAGAGUCCAAGUCAGGGUCCUUCCAUCCUCAAACCAGGCUCCAGUGG